UACGUAGGGGGCGAGCGUUAUCCGGAAUUACUGGGUGUAAAGGGAGCGUAGACGGCGAGGUAAGCCUGAAGUGGAAGCCCGCGGCCCAACCGCGGAACUGCUCUGGGAACUGUUUUGCUGGAGUAUGGGAGGGGUAAGCGGAAUUCCUGGUGUAGCGGUGAAAUGCGUAGAUAUCAGGAGGAACACCGGUGGCGAAGGCGGCUUACUGGACCAUAACUGACGUUGAGGCUCGAAAGCGUGGGGAGCGAACAGG
Molecule: ribosomal RNA, 253 nt
Filed under: uncultured bacterium
Lineage: Bacteria
Description: partial 16S ribosomal RNA
Rfam family: Bacterial small subunit ribosomal RNA
Source: RNAcentral